GAUGAACGCUGGCGGCGUGCCUAAUACAUGCAAGUCGAGCAAACAGACGAGGAGCUUGCUCCUCUGACGUUAGAGGCGGACGGGUGAGUAACACGUGGAUAACCUACCUAUAAGACUGGGAUAACUUCGGGAAACCGGAGCUAAUACCGGAUAAUAUAUUGAACCGCAUGGUUCAAUAGUGAAAGACGGUUUUGCUGUCACUUAUAGAUGGAUCCGCGCCGCAUUAGCUAGUUGGUAAGGUAACGGCUUACCAAGGAGACGAUGCGUAGCCGACCUGAGAGGGUGAUCGGCCACACUGGAACUGAGACGCGGUCCAGACUCCUACGGGAGGCAGCAGUAGGGAAUCUUCCGCAAUGGGCGAAAGCCUGACGGAGCAACGCCGCGUGAGUGAUGAAGGUCUUCGGAUCGUAAAACUCUGUUAUUAGGGAAGAACAAAUGUGUAAGUAACUAUGCACGUCUUGACGGUACCUAAUCAGAAAGCCACGGCUAACUACGUG
RNAcentral lists this ribosomal RNA (497 nucleotides) under uncultured bacterium. Its description in RNAcentral is "partial 16S ribosomal RNA". It matches the Rfam family "Bacterial small subunit ribosomal RNA", at positions 28 to 507 of the family's 1533-position model. The record is from RNAcentral.